RNAcentral lists this long non-coding RNA (844 nucleotides) under Marmota monax (woodchuck). The stretch from base 768 to 831 matches the Rfam family "tRNA". Lineage: Eukaryota; Metazoa; Chordata; Mammalia; Rodentia; Sciuridae. The record is from RNAcentral.
CCUACCCUGACCCCUUUCCCAAGGCCUCAGAUGCUGGGGUUUGGACUGAGAGGAGGGAUGGGGACACUCAAAGGUCCAGCAGACGUCGGGCUGGAUGAACUGGCAGAGCAGAGACAGCCCUGGUGCAGCCCAGGGUCACACCUCUGCCCUCCCCUGGCUGGUUCUCACAGUGGGCUGUGGGCACCACCAGGCCCUGAGCCCUCCUCUCAUCCUCUCCCCUUCACUCCUGAAGGAAAUUCUUGUUUGGCUUUGUUUUUCUCCAGCACUUUGAAUAAAGCAUCCCCGUCUUCCCUCCCUGCAAGAUGCUUGCACAAAGACCUGCUGAUUGUCUUUCCAGGGUGCCCUGGAGGGUGGCACAGGGCACUGUUAUAGGCACAGAGUGCAGAGGGGCCUGCUGCAGUGGGGAGGACCAGGCACCUCUAGGUAAAUGCAGCUCUAGUUUGGAUCGAACUGCUUCCCAGGCUCUUGUCCGAGUUCUAGAACAAACCUUCAGAGCACUGACAGGAAUACAAACACAUCCUGCACCUACAGAGUAAGGGAACACUGUCUGGCCUCCCAUCCACCAUUACCAGACAGGCAGGGGGAGGAACCACAGCACCCGUCCACAGAACACCUGGGGUUCAUCUCACACUCCUGGGCCCACCACAGGGACCUGGCGUCUGCUGAGGUCCUGGGGCUCCUUGGCUUGGUGUGUGGUGCCCAGGCCAUGUACAGGGAUGUUAGAAUUGGUAGAGAAAGACAUUAAAACAGUCCUUGUAGGGGCUGAGGGGGUGGCUCAGUGGUGGAGCGCAUGCCUUGCACACGUGAGGCCCUGGGGUCAAUCCCAGCCCCAAAACCAUUCACC